UGUUAAGAAAUUCAUCCAUUUCUUGUUAAAAACUGGCAUAGCUAACAUGAUAACCAAAUAGUGUCACGUGCACCACAUUCUAACGUACAAUGACCACUUUUUAAUAGUAGAAAUGGAUGAAAUUUUAAACA
Molecule: non-coding RNA, 131 nt
Organism: Gossypium raimondii (Peruvian cotton)
Lineage: Eukaryota; Viridiplantae; Streptophyta; Magnoliopsida; Malvales; Malvaceae
Source: Rfam